UUGCUUAAACAACAAAUAUUUUUUAUUAAGGUUCUAGAGGCUGAAAGUCUGAGAUCAGGGUGCCAGCGUGGUGGGGUUCUUGGUGAGAGCCCUCUUCCUGGUUAUGUCCUUACAUGGUCUUUCCUUGGUGGGGGUGGGGGCAGGGGAGAGAGAGAAAAGGAAUAUGAAUCUUGGGUCUCUUCUUUUUGAAAGGAUAUUAAUCCCCAUCGUGGGAACUCUACUCUCAUGAACGCAUCUAAAUCUAAUCACCUCCCAAAGUUCUCACUUCCAAAUACCAUCACACUGGGAAUUAGGGCUUCAAUUUAUGAAUUUGUGGGUGAGGCACAAACAUUCAGUCCAUAGCAGAUAUCACAAUCCUUCUUUCAGAGUCUGUCAGUUAUUGGUCACUGCACGACCGUUACUCAGUUUUUCAGUUUAUAAACAGCAAAGCAUGUAGUUGUAUAGCUUCCUUGUUUCCCAGUGAUAAACUAACAUGAUAUUUUACAAAAAUGGAUAAUUAAAAGGGAAUUGGACAAGAAAGAUGAAAGUACAGCGAAUAAAAAAAAAUGCUGAAAUGAAAUUAGACGUGAUUAGGGAAUUUGAAAAUGACAAAAGCAAAGCAAAGAUAGGAUGAGACCUCAGCCUACGCAAAACGCACCAUAGACACCACGGAGAAAAUGUUCAGUGAGUAGAAAAAAGAAGGUAAAGUUGCUUCAGGAUCUUUUAGUUUAAAUUGCACUAGAAAGAGAAUGCAAAUUAUGGCUGAUAUAAAGACUUGUUCCUGCUUUUGAUUGAAGACUGUAAUACAUUUAAAUUUAUUCCCAAUCAGUCUGGCUAGCAUUCGGGCGAAGUGUUGAAGUUGGUUGUCUUGCUGAAAGAAAAUGAUAAUUACAAAGAGACUAAAUAAAAACCUUUUUCAGCCAGUAAAUUCUGGUUUCAUCAUUUUAUGAAUUGAUUAAUGUUAAGAGAGUAAAGUGGCUGUGACAAAAGGGUGAAGAGGCCCACAGGAAGUGUUGCUGAUACACUUUGUAUUUAAGAAUUCCUGAGAAUAGUUCACAAGAUUGAAAAUGCAAAGACAAAAUGUUGGAAGCUAAUCUAAACUUAGAAUGCAGAAUGACAAUUUAUGAAGACAGAAGAUUAAUCAUAUGAGAAGAGGCAAACACAGUUCACACCACUAUUGGUAAGUUUUUUUGUUUUCUUUUUUUUUUACAAAGAAUAAAGACUGAUUCUCCAUGUUUCUCAUGUUUUAAAUUAUGGCAUACUAAAUAAAUUAGUUUUACAAUUUAAAAAAAUUCCUGAUAUAUGUCUACCUAGCAGUAAGAGAGUUUUUGAUGUUUCAACAAAAGUUCUUAAGUGUCACAGAACAAUUUAAUUUUUCUCUUUGAUUAUUAAGAUCACUUUGCACAAUUUCAACUUCCAUGGUCAUUUUUAUAGUCAUAUUCUACUAUGCCACGCUAGGACUGUCUGUAUGCUACUUUCUAAUUCCUUAACCAACUCACAUUCAGUUGCCUUUUACUCCUCUAGACCUUGCUCUUGCCAAUAUUAGUAUGACUUCUGAAAUCUUUAUUUCAAGCAAGUUAUUCUCAUUCAAUCAUUUCCUGUCCUUCCAGCUCACCACCUCUAGUACCCUGAAGACAGCCACUCUCCAAUCUUACUGAAAUCUCCAGUUCAUUGACUUUUUUCACCACUUACAGCCCUCAAAUUUCCUGCCUUGUCCAGCUUAGAUUUCAUGGCUCAUCAUUA
Molecule: long non-coding RNA, 1722 nt
Organism: Macaca fascicularis (crab-eating macaque)
Lineage: Eukaryota; Metazoa; Chordata; Mammalia; Primates; Cercopithecidae
Source: Ensembl